GGCAGGCUAGCGUAAUGGUUAACGCGCUAGUUUCCGGUUAUAAUGUGGUUAGCUAGAGAUUCUGGGUUCGAGUCCCAGGCUUGUCG
This 86-nucleotide transfer RNA is filed under the name Heterobasidion irregulare TC 32-1. It matches the Rfam family "tRNA". Rfam says of the family: Transfer RNA (tRNA) molecules are approximately 80 nucleotides in length. Their secondary structure includes four short double-helical elements and three loops (D, anti-codon, and T loops). Further hydrogen bonds mediate the characteristic L-shaped molecular structure. tRNAs have two regions of fundamental functional importance: the anti-codon, which is responsible for specific mRNA codon recognition, and the 3' end, to which the tRNAs corresponding amino acid is attached (by aminoacyl-tRNA synthetases). tRNAs cope with the degeneracy of the genetic code in two manners: having more than one tRNA (with a specific anti-codon) for a particular amino acid; and 'wobble' base-pairing, i.e. permitting non-standard base-pairing at the 3rd anti-codon position. The record is from Rfam by way of RNAcentral. Lineage: Eukaryota; Fungi; Basidiomycota; Agaricomycetes; Russulales; Bondarzewiaceae.